This is a non-coding RNA of Miniopterus natalensis, 7966 nucleotides long. The record is from RefSeq and is a predicted model, not a curated record. Lineage: Eukaryota; Metazoa; Chordata; Mammalia; Chiroptera; Miniopteridae.
AUUUUGGUGUAUCUUAAAUGCCACAGAGACAAGGGGGGCCUAGGAACUCAGGAACCUCUGACAUGGCAUGCAGCAUAUGGCUGUGCUGGAUUGGUGUAAGGGGAAGCCCUACUAUUUUGCACAAGAAGUCAGCUGCAAGCCUGUGGGAAAUCACACAUAGCAAAAUCCCUGGCAAAGAACUAUACAUUUUCCCCCUGCUCUCUGUAACACUCUGUAAUUAAUUUUAUUUUUCAGUGAACGAGCACAGUGUAAGAAUAAUGCAUAACAUAUUUCUGUUUCUUGCUGUUUUAGGGGACAUCACACAGAAGGGAUAUGAAAAGAAAAGGUCAAAACUCCUGUCUCCUUACAUCCCACAGACACAAGAAACUGAUUCAGCAGCACAGAAAGAACAUAGAAAUCAGACACCUGCUCCAUCUGCAGCUCAAACUUCUGCUCCAUCCAAGUACCACCGAACUCGAUCUGGGGGAGCCAGGGAUGAACGAUACCGAUCAGAUAUUCACACAGAAGCAGUUCAAGCUGCACUGGCAAAGCAUAAAGAACAGAAAAUGGCUUUGCCCAUGCCAACCAAAAGGCGGUCCACUUUUGUCCAGUCUCCUGCGGAUGCCUGCACACCUCCUGACACGUCUUCGGCCUCUGAGGAUGAGGGCUCUCUGAGACGCCAAGCUGCGCUCUCUGCUGCCUUACAACAGAGCUUACAGAAUGCUGAGUCCUGGAUCAACCGUUCAAUUCAGGGAUCGUCCACUUCUUCAUCCGCAUCUUCUACGCUGUCCCAUGGAGAGGUCAAAGGAACCAGUGGGUCUUUAGCUGAUGUAUUUGCCAAUACUCGUAUAGAGAAUUUCUCUGCUCCCCCUGACGUCACUACAACUACCUCUUCUUCAUCAUCAUCUUCCUCAGUACGCCCAGCAAAUAUUGACCUGCCCCCCUCGGGGAUAGUUAAAGGCAUGCACAAAGGAUCCAACAGGUCCAGCCUUAUGGAUACAGCUGAUGGUGUUCCUGUCAGUAGCAGAGUAUCCACAAAAAUCCAACAGCUUCUCAACACUCUGAAACGACCCAAAAGGCCUCCCUUAAAAGAAUUUUUUGUGGAUGACUCUGAAGAAAUUGUGGAAGUACCUCAGCCGGACCCCAACCAGCCCAAGCCUGAGGGACGGCAGAUGACCCCUGUGAAGGGAGAGCCAUUAGGAGUCAUCUGUAACUGGCCUCCUGCUCUUGAGUCUGCCCUGCAGCGCUGGGGCACCACUCAGGCAAAGUGCCCCUGUCUGACUGCACUGGAUGUAACAGGAAAACCAGUUUACACUCUCACAUACGGAAAGUUGUGGAGCAGAAGUCUAAAGUUGGCCUACACACUGCUUAAUAAACUGGGGACCAAAAAUGAACCUGUAUUAAAACCUGCAGACAGGGUAGCCCUGGUUUACCCCAACAAUGAUCCAGUCAUGUUUAUGGUGGCUUUUUAUGGAUGUCUCCUGGCAGAAGUGAUUCCAGUGCCUAUAGAGGUACCUCUUACCAGAAAGGAUGCUGGAGGGCAGCAGAUUGGCUUCUUGCUAGGAAGCUGUGGUAUUGCCUUAGCUCUUACCAGUGAAGUUUGUCUAAAGGGGCUGCCAAAAACACAGAAUGGAGAGAUUGUACAGUUUAAAGGUUGGCCCCGGCUCAAAUGGGUUGUAACAGAUUCCAAGUACCUCUCAAAGCCUCCUAAAGACUGGCAGCCCCACAUCUCACCUGCUGGCAGUGAACCAGCAUACAUUGAGUAUAAAACAAGCAAAGAAGGAAGUGUAAUGGGAGUUACAGUGUCCCGCCUUGCAAUGUUGUCUCACUGCCAAGCUCUGUCCCAGGCCUGCAAUUAUUCUGAAGGAGAAACAGUAGUAAAUGUUUUAGACUUUAAGAAGGAUGCCGGGCUGUGGCAUGGAAUGUUUGCGAAUGUAAUGAAUAAGAUGCACACAGUUAGCGUACCCUACUCUGUUAUGAAGACCUGCCCUCUCUCUUGGGUCCAGAGAGUGCAUGCACACAAAGCCAAGGUAGCUUUAGUAAAAUGUCGAGACUUGCACUGGGCUAUGAUGGCACAUCGAGACCAAAGGGAUGUGAGCUUGAGUUCCCUCCGGAUGUUAAUUGUGACUGAUGGAGCUAAUCCCUGGUCUGUGUCGUCCUGCGAUGCCUUCCUGAGUCUGUUCCAGAGCCACGGGCUGAAACCUGAGGCCAUCUGUCCGUGUGCUACUUCUGCUGAAGCCAUGACUGUCGCCAUUCGCAGGCCUGGAGUUCCAGGGGCCCCUUUGCCAGGAAGAGCCAUUCUCUCAAUGAAUGGAUUGAGCUAUGGGGUAAUACGGGUCAAUACUGAAGAUAAAAAUUCAGCACUAACAGUUCAGGAUGUGGGACAUGUAAUGCCUGGCGGGAUGAUGUGCAUUGUGAGACCUGAUGGACCUCCCCAACUCUGCAGAACAGAUGAAAUUGGGGAAAUCUGUGUCAGCUCCAGAACAGGAGGCAUGAUGUACUUUGGGCUUGCUGGUGUGACCAAAAAUACAUUUGAGGUGAUUCCGGUAAAUUCUGCGGGCUCUCCUGUUGGGGACAUGCCUUUCAUCCGGUCAGGAUUGCUGGGGUUUGUGGGGCCAGGCAGCUUGGUGUUUGUGGUUGGAAAAAUGGAUGGGUUACUGAUGGUUAGUGGUCGAAGACAUAAUGCUGAUGACAUUGUUGCUACUGGAUUGGCUGUUGAAUCAAUAAAGACGGUUUAUAGAGGAAGAAUUGCUGUGUUUUCUGUGUCUGUAUUUUAUGAUGAGCGCAUUGUGGUGGUUGCGGAACAAAGACCCGACGCUUCUGAGGAAGAUAGUUUCCAGUGGAUGAGCCGGGUGCUACAGGCAAUCGAUAGCAUUCAUCAAGUGGGGGUUUAUUGCCUCGCUCUGGUGCCUGCCAAUACAUUGCCAAAAACUCCACUAGGAGGGAUCCAUAUAUCUCAAACAAAACAGCUGUUUCUGGAAGGAUCUCUACAUCCGUGCAAUAUCCUCAUGUGCCCACAUACAUGUGUGACCAAUUUGCCAAAACCCCGGCAAAAGCAACCAGGUGUAGGCCCUGCUUCUGUGAUGGUUGGCAAUCUGGUUGCUGGAAAACGCAUAGCACAAGCUGCAGGAAGGGAUCUCGGGCAAAUUGAAGAGAAUGAUUUAGUGAGGAAGCACCAGUUUCUGGCGGAGAUAUUACAGUGGCGAGCCCAGGCAACUCCUGACCAUGUACUCUUCAUGCUCUUAAAUGCAAAGGGCACCACUGUGUGCACAGCCAGCUGCCUUCAGCUUCAUAAGCGAGCAGAGAGGAUUGCGUCAGUGCUUGGUGAUAAGGGACAUCUAAAUGCAGGCGACAAUGUGGUGUUGCUCUAUCCACCUGGCAUCGAGUUAAUCGCUGCAUUCUAUGGCUGCCUGUAUGCGGGGUGUGUCCCUGUGACCGUCCGGCCUCCUCAUGUUCAGAACCUUACUGCCACAUUGCCCACAGUCCGCAUGAUUGUUGAUGUCAGCAAAGCUGCCUGCAUUCUCACCACGCAGACACUAAUGAGGUUACUGAAGUCCCGAGAGGCGGCCGCAGCUGUGGAUGUGAAAACCUGGCCAACCAUCAUUGACACAGAUGAUUUACCCAGGAAGAGGUUGCCUCAGCUGUAUAAACCACCCACUCCUGAGAUGUUGGCCUAUCUUGAUUUUAGCGUCUCUACAACGGGCAUGCUUACAGGAGUGAAGAUGUCCCACUCUGCAGUCAAUGCUCUCUGUAGAGCCAUCAAGCUCCAGUGUGAGUUGUAUUCUUCUCGGCAGAUCGCCAUCUGCCUCGACCCUUACUGUGGACUUGGCUUUGCACUCUGGUGUCUCUGCAGUGUCUAUUCAGGUCACCAGUCCAUCUUAAUUCCUCCUAUGGAGUUAGAAAACAACCUUUUCCUCUGGCUUUCCACCGUCAACCAGUACAAAAUAAGGGAUACGUUCUGCUCCUAUUCAGUGAUGGAGCUGUGCACCAAAGGGCUUGGGAACCAAGUGGAGGUGCUAAAGACCAGAGGAAUCAACCUCUCCUGCAUCCGGACGUGUGUGGUAGUGGCCGAGGAGCGGCCCCGUAUUGCCCUCCAACAGUCCUUCUCCAAGCUCUUUAAAGACAUCGGCUUGUCCCCUCGGGCUGUCAGCACCACUUUUGGAUCAAGAGUCAAUGUAGCAAUAUGUUUACAGGGAACCUCAGGGCCUGAUCCAACUACUGUCUAUGUAGAUCUGAAAUCAUUAAGGCAUGACAGGGUUCGUCUUGUGGAACGGGGUGCCCCCCAGAGUUUGCUCCUUUCAGAGUCUGGAAAGAUUUUACCUGGAGUGAAAGUGGUUAUUGUUAAUCCCGAGACCAAAGGGCCUGUUGGAGACUCUCACCUUGGAGAGAUUUGGGUAAAUAGUCCCCAUACGGCCAGUGGCUAUUACACCAUCUACGAUAGUGAGACUCUUCAAGCUGAUCAUUUCAACACUCGCCUCAGCUUUGGGGAUGCUGCCCAGACACUUUGGGCUCGGACAGGAUACCUUGGUUUUGUCCGCCGAACUGAGCUCACAGCAGCCACUGGAGAGCGUCAUGAUGCGUUAUAUGUAGUGGGAGCUCUGGAUGAAACGCUGGAGCUGAGAGGAUUACGAUACCACCCAAUUGAUAUUGAGACCUCAGUGUCUCGAAUCCACAGGAGCAUUGCUGAAUGUGCCGUGUUCACGUGGACCAACUUGCUUGUGGUGGUUGUGGAACUCUGUGGCUCUGAACAGGAAGCCCUAGAUCUGGUUCCUUUAGUGACAAAUGUGGUCCUGGAGGAGCAUUACCUCAUCGUUGGCGUUGUGGUUGUGGUGGACCCAGGUGUUAUCCCCAUCAACUCCAGAGGAGAGAAGCAAAGGAUGCACCUCCGCGACAGCUUCCUGGCUGACCAAUUAGACCCCAUCUAUGUGGCUUAUAACAUGUAACCAGCCUUGUGGAUUUAUAGGGGGCCAUCCUGAAAAACCACAAGGACCAAAGACCAGUGACUUAGAAGCAAGCUUUCAAAUGAUGUGAAAUAAGCUGAGAUGGCUACAUUAUAUCCUUCAUCUCAUCUGGUGGGAUUCUGCAAUCACAGGACACACAGAAAAGGAGAAUUCUAUGGUGGCUAAUGAAAAAAAUGUUAACAGUCAUGAGCUUUGACAUAGCGUCCAGUGUAAACUGUGUCUACAGUUUAUACGUAUAGCUUCUCUUUUCUGAAAACUGAAGAGUGUCCUCUGUUCUUCCAGUUCAUGAGGGCCAGGAUUUUAAGAACAAGAAUGAUAGGCUGGGAAGGCAGUGGGAUCAACGUCACGUGAAACUGUAAGGCCACAUAACUGUACAUCUCAAAACUGACCAAUCUGAGUUGCCAAAAUAGCCAGGCUUAUACUGAAAUAGGGGAAGUCUGAUGUAUGCAAGAAACUCUUUUGAAAUAACUGUGGUGCCCAGGCCAAGCAGACUGAACUUGGGACUGAGUUUGGCCUCCAGCUCGGUUUCCUUUCUUUGGUCUGAUACUUCAUGUAUUUGAAUAUAGUUGAAUUUCUUUAUUUUUUUCUUACAGAAAUAUUUUUAAAAAUUAAAAUAAUCAAAAGUGAACAGAGUUAACAUGUUAAAUCAGAAUGGUUCUCUUUGACCCACUCUGGUCUAUUGUGUAAAUAUUUAUUUAGACUAUUUUAAUAAUACAUAUUAUUUACCCCACUGUAACAUCAUGUAAACUAAAUAUGUUUUUAAACAAUUUUUAAGACUUGUAAUUACCCUGAAAAUAAGGUUUGUAAUGCAAAGAUCAGACCCUUCGCUGUGGCAGCACUCUUGGGGGCUGCCCUUACACAGUCUGUGACUCAAAGACACUUUAUGACUCCCUGUUACAUAAUCCUCUUUUCCUCCCAACUCAUUCUCUACAGAGGGCAGACCUCAAGACAUUUUCCAGUUCCAGGUCUCUUUUUCAAUAUUUUGAGUGAAAUUAAUUUACAGGUAAUGGGAGAGGUUCUAGGAUGUGCAGGAAAAAAAAAAAGCACUUACAUUGGGGCAAGAAAUCCCAGCGACUAGCAACAGUUUGUUUUGCAGAGAAAACAGCUUGAUUAUUUGGAAAAUAAUUUUCUUAAAAUAUUUCUUACUGAUUCACUAAACAAAAACAAGGUAUCCUGAGGAGUAAAUAGUUUUAUCUCCAUAAUCCUUAAGUUCUAAGAAAAAAAAAAAUAGAGCCUGUUCUAUGGGUUGCUCUGAUCAUUCUUUACUACACAAGUUAGGGUGUCUGGUAGAAGUAUCAUGUGAGCCACAUCUGUCAUUUUAAAUUUUCUAGUAACAUUUUAAAAAGUAAAAAAGAAACAGGCGAAAUUGUCUUAAUAUAUUUUAUUUAACCCAAUAUAUAAAAAUAUUAGCAUUUCAGUGUGGAAUCAAUAUAAAAAAAUGAUGAGAUAGCUUACUUUUUGUCUCCUAUUAAGUCUUUGAAAUCCAGUAUGUACUAAGCACAUCUCUGUUCAGACUAGCCGUAUUUCAAGUUUUCAGUAGCAACAUGUGGCUAAUGGCUAUGAUAUUGGACAGUGCAGAUUUAUAUUCAUUCCUUAAAGUAAGAAUCCAUUAAUCUCUAAGUGUGGCCAUUUCCCAGUUACUUAGGGGCUGAUUAUCUGGUUUAUAGUUCCUCAGGCUUCUUUAUCUUUAGUUUUUUCUUUCUGCCUUAUGGCUGCUUUAUUGAUCUUUCGUGUAUCCCCUAAAGGCAGAAUAUGCUUGUGGAGGAAGGAAAGCUGAGAUGUGUCUUUGGGAGCUUCAUCAGUAGCUCUGGUAAAGUACCUCAGGAAGGGAAAGAGAGUCCAGUCAUUAGCUUAGAGGUGUUUGUGCCUAGUCUGUUGCAGACUUGGAUAAGAAAACUUAUUCUUGAUGACACAAUGCUCUUGCUCUUUCCACAUUAAGUAGAACCUUUGUGGUAAAACUGACUCUUAAGACAGGCCCAGAAGGCCAUUAUUGAUAGAAAGAGCCUUGCCAAACCUCUGGAACACAUUCUGUCUGGGUUUUUAUGCCUGUGAAAAAGAAAACUAAAUUAUUAGCAAGUGCCCAUCACCACCAUGUUUCAGUUAAGAGAAAUCUGUUCAUCUGAAAGUUUUUGACCCUCUUUCUGCCUCUCAGCAGAAGUAACCGAGGUAGACCAGGAAAGAAGCUACCUCAGGAAAAAUCCUAGGCCCUAGGGGUUCUUAGAGCUGUACACAUGCCAUCUCCUGCAUCAGUGAGACCCUGGGAAAGACCAGCAUGCUGAUGGGCGUCAAUGAAUCCAGUCUUCACUUCCUGCCUCAUAAAGGGCCCCAGUUACCCCAGUACCAAGUCCUUUCCUUAUGAAGCUGUGCUGCCUCAGGCUGUUAGGGACCAUUGCCUAUUUAUAGGUCUGUGAGUAUGUCUCCUUAGUCCCUGGGCAAUGCUUGCUUAAUGCUUUUGUUGAAUCAACAAAGGGCCUGAGGCCUUAGGUUUUUUAUUAAGGUCUCUGCCCCAGGCAUGGUGCUCAAUAUCUUGGCCAAAUAAAUUACUUUCUUGAAUAUCCAGGAAUCUUUUAGACUAAAGCAAUGAGGAGUUACCACCUCACCCUCAAACUCCAACAUAAUCUAUGCCUUAGUGUUGUUUUUGUUGUCUGCUUUGAUGUAAAAGCAAGAGUAUUUGGAGCAAGAAGCUGCAGUACUCCAAAUACACAAUAGGCCUUUUCAUUAUUAUUCAUACAUUUCUGGUUUAGGUAUAUGUAGAUGGCCAUGCUAUCUGUCCAGAGGAAGAGACUGUAAAGAUAUAAGAAUAAUUUUUUAGUCCUAAAUGCUGUUUUGUUUACUUUCUGUCAAGAUAUUUACCAGUGUCAAAUUCAAACUAUAAUACUGUGUAAUUAUGUAUAAAGUUUUUUUAUUUAUUUGAAAUUAGACUAGAUAUACAUUUUUAAAUUUAACAUCUGGCUGGACAGUGUUCUAUUAACUCAUUGAAUGUGUUUCCUUUGUCUUGUGUUAAUAAAUAUUGAUGCCUGAUUGUG